This 1242-nucleotide unclassified non-coding RNA is filed under the name Hevea brasiliensis (rubber tree). The record is from RNAcentral. Lineage: Eukaryota; Viridiplantae; Streptophyta; Magnoliopsida; Malpighiales; Euphorbiaceae.
UGUUAUCCCCAAAUAUCAACAUUCUUUAAGAAUAUUGAUUAUUUCAGCUUUAUAAGACAAAAUCAGGUUACCAUUAAUACAUUUCACAAUAAAACAUAAACAACUUAAACAUAGCUGUCGAUUAAUGAUUUCCUCAUCUCAUCGACUAUGGCACUAGGCUGAGCUUCCCUCAGUUUGAAAACACUCUCAAUAACAGAGAGUUCAGUAGCUGUAGUAUCUGACCCACAGAAUGCUGUCCAAUCAUUCACAGUCAUGCCAGCAGCUAUCACUUCACUGCCACGGUUAACAGUACCAGCCACUAAAGGCACCUGAAGGAGAGUAGAAAGUUCAUCCAAGUCUUCAAUAGACGUAUGAGGAUGAACCUGUUCCAACAAAAGUUAAAAAGAUCAACAAGGUAUGAACGCUUGGUCACUCCACAGCAGAUAAGUCAAAUCACAAAAAAUAUGCUAAGUUGUUCAAAAGCUGAAAAUAAGUUUUAUUUUGAUUUGUUAGUAAUAGUUUUGAUUUUAUGAGAUUUUCAUGCAGUUUGUUAUAUCUUGGGUUGUAUAAAUACCAAAUUAAUCAAUAAAAUUCUAAAGACCAAUUUAGUCUGUCUCAUUAUAUGCCCUAUAUCCUUCUUUUUAAAAACCAACAAAAGCAAAUGAAUUCUUACCAAGCCACCUCUAUUAGAAAAGGCACAGUAGCUGCCCACAAGAAUAUUACCAGCAAUUGUCUGCCUAAAAACUUCUACACCAAGAACAUCUGCAAUCAUUUCCUCUGUUUCCUUGUCAAGAUCUGUAUGUGUUAGAGCAACGUGGUCAUUGCAGGCUAUACAAUUUCCCAAGGCAGAUAAUCUCUCUUCAAUUCGUUGAACCACAACACUAUCAGGUAGACUGUUUCUCAAAUGUUGAAGUUCUUGGUCGGUGGUGUUGUGGGGCAACAGAAGCCCAUUUUUGUUUCCAGCACAAAGACGGCCAAUAAUCCUAGUGCCUGCAAUGGAAGUUUUAACUACAGGGAUAACAUCCGCUAACUCAGCUUCGAAUGUGCUGUAGAAACUUUCAGAGCCUCCAAUGGCAACCAAACAAUAAGCAUUGGUGAGCUUGGAGAACACUCCAACCUCACAUGAGUUCUCAAACAUAAGCCUAGUCGCCAUGAUCGGAAGAAAUCUGAGAUAAUCCUGUUUUCGAUUGUAGAGAGAGAGAAGGAUAAGGGAGAGCAAGAGCUUCCUUCCUUUGACUAUGGUUGGGAAUUGGGUAGUGAUUA